Molecule: non-coding RNA, 30 nt
Filed under: Mus musculus (house mouse)
Lineage: Eukaryota; Metazoa; Chordata; Mammalia; Rodentia; Muridae
Source: RNAcentral
UGAGAAAUUGCCUUCAGAGUAUUUCCCUGC